GGGUGUAGCCAAGCGGUAAGGCACUAGACUUUGACUCUAGCAUGCGUAGGUUCAAAUCCUGCCACCC
Molecule: transfer RNA, 67 nt
Filed under: bovine gut metagenome
Rfam family: tRNA
About the family: Transfer RNA (tRNA) molecules are approximately 80 nucleotides in length. Their secondary structure includes four short double-helical elements and three loops (D, anti-codon, and T loops).
Source: RNAcentral